CAGCCGCCACGGUAAUACGUAGGUGGCAAGCGUUAUCCGGAAUUAUUGGGCGUAAAGCGCGCGUAGGCGGUUUUUUAAGUCUGAUGUGAAAGCCCACGGCUCAACCGUGGAGGGUCAUUGGAAACUGGAAAACUUGAGUGCAGAAGAGGAAAGUGGAAUUCCAUGUGUAGCGGUGAAAUGCGCAGAGAUAUGGAGGAACACCAGUGGCGAAGGCGACUUUCUGGUCUGUAACUGACGCUGAUGUGCGAAAGCGUGGGGAUCAAACAGGAUUAGAUACCCCUGUAGUCCCUGUCUCUUAUAC
RNAcentral lists this ribosomal RNA (301 nucleotides) under uncultured bacterium. RNAcentral's name for it is "partial 16S ribosomal RNA". It matches the Rfam family "Bacterial small subunit ribosomal RNA", at positions 509 to 807 of the family's 1533-position model. The record is from RNAcentral.